UUUUAUUUUUAUUUUUAUUUUUAUUUUUAUUUUUAUUUUUAUUUUUAUUUUUAUUUAUUUUUAUUUAUUUUCAUAGAAUCACUGCUAAAUAAUUGUGAAGAUUGUGAGUUUAGCAUUCCUUUCUUAAACAGUGAAUGUCAUACUUAAGGAGAAUAUACUGAGAUGAUGAAUUUUAAAGAUGUAUGUUUUAAAGGAAAAAGAGAAGAGGGAGCAAAAGUUAAAAGUAAGCUUUUUGGUAAGCUUAAAGGCUUUUAAACUAAUUCUGAGUAUUGCCUUGUAGACAUCAAUUUGUACUCCUCGUAAAGGUAAAAGUGUGGCCAGACUCUUCACUGCAGAUAAACAUCCUUCAGUGUAACAGAAAGAAACCUGCAGAGAAUCAAUCUGUAAAUCUGGUUAUGAGAUGGGUCCUGUACUCAGCUUUUGAUUGGGUUUGAGGGUAUUGCUCUGUUUUAGGACAGGCAAAAAGCCUUUUUAAAAUACAAAUAAACAUACAAACAACAACAACAACAAAAUGCACAACACCCCAAAGCAUAAAUAGAUGAUACCCAUCUGUUAGCUAGAGAUCAGCUAGGAAUCUUAGUUCAUGCAUGCUUAAGACAUAAGUGUAUAAAAUAAGGUUUUAGAAGAAUUUAUAGCUAGGAUUCAUCUCACCUACAUUUAGAUAUCCACAUGGUAGAUCCACAGGUAGACCUGAUCAGUCUUUUAUAGCUCAUCAACAGAAAUGGGUUGUGAACUGUGCUUUAUCUGAGCUCUCUUACUUUUUUACCUUAUUAUGAAAUUUAUUUCACACUUAGAAUACCUAUUUGUCUCUAUGGAAAGGGUGAUCAGCUCAGGUGAACAUAUGAAUCCCACUGCUGGAUGCCAAGUCCAAUGCUGUUAUUCAGAAUUUCAUCCUUUAAGAUAAUGAUACAUAUAGAAAGUAUUAAGAUAUUGCAGUGUACCUUGAAACCACAGAACCAAGGAUUUCUGUGGAAAGGCAAUUCACUUUUCACUAACCUUCCGCUUCCUCACCGAAUAUGAUCUCAUGGGGAUGCUUAGAUUUGUACCCUAAUGAACAUCAUCCAUGAUGAAAACCAUGUGUCAAGAUAGUUCUGAAUUCCCCUUGCACAAUCUUCUUCCUUUCUGGGAAGCCAGUCCUACUACUGAUGUUCUGCACACAAUGUCUGUUUGGGCACGCUGUUAUGAAAAGGCAAGAGAAUAGCUACUAGGGCUGAAAAUAGGAUGGACUUGUGAGAAAAGACUAAAUCCAUUUGUGUUUUCCCUUCCUGGCUUCCAUUCAUCUGCAGUGGACAUUUCUCCAUAACAGAAGGCAUGACUGGAACUGGGGUUUUAGUACAAACUUUGCAGAAGUGACUCUUCCUGAACAAGUGGACGAAUAAUUUCUGCUGUUAUAUAAUCCUAGAUCAACAGGUUCCCCUUCCCCCCCGUAAAUUUGAAUAUGAAAGAAUGAAGGCAACAUUUCAAAAUAAAUAUAUAUGUAAAAAUAUGCAUAACAUUGUUGAAAUAUUAGAAUUGUUUUAAGGCUUUUCAUAUGUCAAUUCAUAUAUUUUGUAAUAAUAUUCAACUAUUUUAAAGUGUUUUGCUGGUAAUGUAUCUUUGGAUACUAAAUAAUUAAUCACUUCAUCUUACUUUUCAGUAGAGGGCACUCAGAACAAAUCAUAGAUCAGAGUAAAGUCUAAAAGACACUAAACAUCAUGCAAGAUAUAUAUUAGAAACACCACUAUGUCUCAAGCAAGGAUAGUAUAUAUUUACAUAUGUUUUAAAUGUAAAGCAGCACCAAUAAAAGAUAAAACUUAGCAAAACUUGAGCUGUAUCUUGUGAACAUUAUUACGUAUUUCACAGCAUGAUGUAAGUAAGCUAUUAAAUUUUGAGAAAAAGUGGUUUGUUCAUCUUUAUGGAUUAACUACCAGAGUCUAAUAAAAUAUUUAACAACUUUUUAAUGAA
Molecule: non-coding RNA, 1944 nt
Organism: Coturnix japonica (Japanese quail)
Lineage: Eukaryota; Metazoa; Chordata; Aves; Galliformes; Phasianidae
Source: RefSeq, a predicted model, not a curated record